GAUGAAGAACGCAGUGAAAUGCGAUACUUGGUGUGAAUUGCAGAAUCCCGCGAAUCAUCGAGUUUUUGAACGCAAGUUGCGCCCGAAGCCAUUCGGCCGAGGGCACGUCUGCCUGGGUGUUACGCAUCGUUGCCCCCCCAAACUCCGGUUCGGGCGGGGCGGAAGUUGGCCUCCCGUGCGUGCCUGCGCGCGCGGUUAGCCCAAAAGCGAGUCCUCGGCGACGAGCGCCACGACAAUCGGUGGUUUUUUUACCCUCGUUCCUCGUCGUGCGUGUCCCGUCGCCCGAACACGCUCUUGUGACCCUCACGCGUCGCCUCGGCGGCGCUCCCAACGCGACCCCAGGUCAGGCGGGACUACCCGCUGAGUUUAAGCAUAUCAAUAAGCGGAGGA
RNAcentral lists this unclassified non-coding RNA (390 nucleotides) under soil metagenome. RNAcentral's name for it is "partial contains 5.8S ribosomal RNA, internal transcribed spacer 2, and large subunit ribosomal RNA". The stretch from base 1 to 122 matches the Rfam family "5.8S ribosomal RNA", at positions 35 to 154 of the family's 154-position model. The record is from RNAcentral.